CUGAAUUCCCCUUACUCUGUAGUGAUUUACGAGGCCUUUUCUUCUUAUGGCAAAUGAUCUCAAUACUUUGCAUUUCAAGUGGGUAGGCAGUGGCUGAAUGGUUAACGUGCGGGCUCUGCAUUCACCACGUACUGGACGACGCGAAUUCGAAUCCCCACGCUACCACCUGGGAUUUUUCAGUCACCGCCGAGUGGCCUAAGACUACCCACAUGCUGUCCUGACGACCACCCAUCAACCCGGACUCUAGAAGAAACCGUCCAAGUGAAUCAAGAAUGAGUUCCGGGGGAAAGCAGGAGCCAGGAAUAAAUGGCGCCACUAUAUAAACUGCCUGUGCCAUGACGGGCUUGGGCCGACCACCAGGCCCCUGAAGAAAGCCUACCGGCGCUAUAGGCGAGCACGUAAAAAAAAGUUUAAUGUAAAAGACAAGACGUUUCACAACGCACUGAUACACAGCUAAAUACAAACCACACUCAGGGUCGAGCUCGGUCACAAACUGAAGGAAGCCAUGACAAACACAUCGACCAGAAGCCCUUCGGAGGCUGUUUGGAGGCCUCGAUAACAUCGCUUCUGGUCUCCGAGGCACAAGGACCUCGCGCGCACGCCCAGGACCCCGCCAGACCACGUGUAUCCCACCCGAAUUCAUGUUAGUCUAUCGCCAGCUAUCGCGGCGGGAGGGUGUGCGCCCGGCCUGCCUCUCGCUCACUGCUCGAGCACUCCGGACACUUGUUCUGCCACGCGGCCCCUCAGCGCGACACUCCUGUGGGGUGUUGGGGAUUCACUCGGGGUGCGUCCACCGCCUCCACGGCACACUGACACACCGACUCGUUUUCUGCGGCUCUGUCGUUUUCUUGGCGACUUCAACGACAAAUAAUGACACAACAGAUGACCCUUUACACGGCUGGCGGGGAAAAGACACAGUGCUCCUCCUUCCUUUACUCUGGAUAAGCAAGUGUUCCCUACACUGACGCCCUCUGGAAGCCCUGCUGUCCUGCGGCUCAGGUCUGCCUGUGAGGAGCAGCCUUGGUCUUGCCAGGCAGCGGCGGGCGUCGGCUGCACCUCGUCGCGGGACACUUGAACCCGACGGAAGGGGUUGGGCGGACUCUACAACCCGCCAGGCAGACCGACAAGGAACAGCCCUCCCUCACACCCGCCUUCCUGCUGUGGCCGCGUGAGGAAGGACAGGAAGGGUUAAGGGCGCGUGAAGGCACACAGAAAAGAAAGUGAGAUUUAGAGACGCGGGCAAAGGACAGGAAGGAAGGAGAGUGGGACGGACGGACGAAAGGAAAGAGAAGUGGGUGGGACGGAAAAAAAGAAGAAAGGGGAGUAAAAUGGGACAGACGGAGGAUAAUAUGAAAGAGAAGUGAGUACGAUGGAGUGACGGAAGAAUGGAAGAGAAGUAAGGAGAGUGGAAUAGAGAAAGGAAGGAGAAACUGAGGGACGGUGUGAAGAAAGGAAUGAAGAAGUGAGUGACCGAAGGAAGGAAGGAAGGGAAGAAGAAGACGAAGGACGGAGUAAGUAAGGGAAAGAAUAAAGGAAUAAAGGAAGAAGACAGGACAGAGGAAAGGAAAGGACGGAAGGACUUUGAGGUCACACACACAUAUGAAAAAGAUAAAACGAAAGGAUUAAAAAGCCACAAAGAGGGAAACGUGAAAAUCCUGAAUGCCAUAACGUAAAAUAAAAUGACGAUAGUAAAACCUGCGGCCAAAAAAUAACGAAAUAAAGAAAAAACCUGAAAAAAACGUGCGAAGGUGAACUGAAAAUGAAAUAGGAGAGUUACUGAAGGAGUGAAUCCAGGUUGAAAAUAUUUUGUCUGCCUUGCCUGGAAAAUAUGAGAAAGUAAAAACAUAGAGGGGAAAAAAUAUAUAUGCAUGAAGACCGCACAGUUAAUUAAAAGUAAAUGCUGAGCCGGAAAUGAACUCUGUGCAGAAAAAAAAAGUGAUAAAACAAUGACGGAUACAAAUGGAAAGGGAAAAAGAGCAACAAUAUAUUAACACUGAAAAAAAAAAAAAAACGGAAGAGAAAGAAAAAGAAGUAAAUAGAAGCAAACAAAAAAAGUCGAGUUACGGAACCAAAAAGAAAAAUGAUGAUAAUAGAAUGACGAAUCUAAAUGAAAAGGGAAAAAAGCAACAACAUAAAAACACUGAAAAAAUAUAACUAAUGACCUAAAAAAAAAAAAAGUAGAAAAAGUGAAAUCGUGUUAAAGAACGAAGAAAAAUAAUGAAAAAGAAUGACGAACACAAAUGAAAAGGGGAAAAAAGCAACAGAUUAGUACUGAAAAAAACUAACUAACGACCUAAGAGAGAAAAAAAAAAUUAAUGAAUGGAAGAAGAAAAUAAUAAUAUAGGGAUUCGUACUUAGUGAGAGAAAGAAGGGAGAAAUAAACAAAAAAAAGAAAGAAAACAACAACUGAAAAAAACUAAUGACCUUAAAAAUAUAAAUAAAGUAAAAUCGUGUUAAGAAAAGAAUAGGAAAAUAAUAAUAACGGAAUACGUACUUAGUGAGAGCAAGAAUAAAUAAAUAAACAAGAAAAAGAAGAGAAAACAACAGCAAAUUCUGGCGUGUGAGGCGCAAAGCGAAACAAAUUGAGACGAACCGUUGCAAUUAAAUCCAGGAAGCUGAACAAACAAAAAACACGAGUAAAAAACAACAACUUGCUCUCUCUCUCUCUCUCUCUCUCUCUCUCUCUCUCUCUCUUGCCCUCUUUCCUCUCUCUCUCUCCCUCUCUCCCGUUUCUGCGCGCGAGGAAGCGGGAAAAAAGAUAAAAAACAAAUAUACUAAAACAGGGAGACUAAAACAACACAAUAAACGGAAGAAGAGAGAAACACAGACAUAAAAUUAAUAAACACCACGAACAGGAAGGGAAAAAGAACGUAGAAAGAGAGAAAAAGAAGAAUAAAGGAGAGAAAAAGUGUGCAAAACAUCUGAUUCUCUUUACCUGAGGAGCGAAAGUGAGAGGGAAAAAAAAUAAAAUAAGAGGGAUUUGCAACACAGACAGAAAACGUGCGUGAAAAUCUGAAACUCCAAUAAGACGAGG
Molecule: long non-coding RNA, 3034 nt
Organism: Eriocheir sinensis (Chinese mitten crab)
Lineage: Eukaryota; Metazoa; Arthropoda; Malacostraca; Decapoda; Varunidae
Exons: 3
Source: RefSeq, a predicted model, not a curated record